This 253-nucleotide ribosomal RNA is filed under the name uncultured bacterium. RNAcentral's name for it is "partial 16S ribosomal RNA". It matches the Rfam family "Bacterial small subunit ribosomal RNA", at positions 524 to 776 of the family's 1533-position model. The record is from RNAcentral.
UCCGUAGGGGGCAAGCGUUGUCCGGAAUCAUUGGGCGUAAAGCGCGCGUAGGCGGCCAGAUAAGUCCGGUGUGAAAGUCACAGGCUCAACCUGUGAAUGCCGCUGGAAACUGUCUGGCUAGAGUCCGGAAGGGGCGAGUGGAAUUCCUGGUGUAGCGGUGAAAUGCGCAGAUAUCAGGAGGAACACCAAUGGCGAAGGCAGCUCGCUGGGACGGUACUGACGCUGAGGCGCGAAAGCGUGGGGAGCAAACAGG